AGACCUUUAGUUUGAACCCCGAAACCAGGUGAGCUACCCCGAGACAGCCUAUAUUGAUUUAGGGCUAACCCGUCUCUGUGGCAAAAGAGUGGGAAGAGCUCCGGGUAGAAGUGACAGACCUACCGAACCUGGUGAUAGCUGGUUGCCUGAGAAGUGGAUAGAAGUUCAGCCUCGCACACCCCAAGCCAGAGAAUACACCGCUAAGGCACUCAGGGAAAUGUGGGAGAGUUAGUUAAAGGGGGUACAGCCCCUUUAACAAAGGAUACAACCUUUGCAGGAGGAUAAAGAUCAUAAUAUAUAAAACAUGCUGCUCUAGUGGGCCUAAAGGCAGCCACCUAAACAGAAAGCGUUAAAGCUCAGGCAGAAAGAAGUUUAUUAUACCGAUAAAAAAUCUUACUCCCCUAAUUAUAUCAGGCCAACCCAUGCCAACAUGGAAGAGAUUAUGCUAAAAUGAGUAACAAGAAGACCUGCUCUUCUCCCAGCACAAGUGUAAGCCAGAUCGGACCAACCGCUGGAACUUAACGAACCCAACCCAAGAGGGUAGUGUGAAUAGUACAGACCCCAAGAAGAACUCACAACUAAACAAUCGUUAACCCCACACUGGAGUGCUAUUAUAAAGGAAAGACUAAAAGAGGGGGAAGGAACUCGGCAAACACAAGCCUCGCCUGUUUACCAAAAACAUCGCCUCCUGCAACUAUAUUGAGUAUAGGAGGUCCAGCCUGCCCAGUGACUACGGGUUCAACGGCCGCGGUAUUUUGACCGUGCAAAGGUAGCGCAAUCACUUGUCUCUUAAAUAGAGACCUGUAUGAAUGGCUAGACGAGGGCUUAACUGUCUCCCCCCUCCAGUCAGUGAAAUUGAUCUAUCCGUGCAGAAGCGGGUAUAAUUAUACAAGACGAGAAGACCCUUUGGAGCUUAAGGUACAAAAUCCAACCACGUUAAACGACCCCCUAAAGGGCAAGAACUUAGUGGCCAAUGAAGUUUUACCUUCGGUUGGGGCGACCACGGAGGAGAAAAAAGCCUCCGAGUGGACUGGGUUAAAACCCAAAGCUAAGAGAUACAUCUCUAAGCCGCAGAACAUCUGACCAAAAGUGAUCCGGCUAAAAAGCCGAUCAACGAACCAAGUUACCCUAGGGAUAACAGCGCAAUCCUCUCCCAGAGUCCAUAUCGACGAGGGGGUUUACGACCUCGAUGUUGGAUCAGGACAUCCUAAUGGUGCAGCCGCUAUUAAGGGU
RNAcentral lists this ribosomal RNA (1233 nucleotides) under Alburnus tarichi (tarek). Its description in RNAcentral is "partial large subunit ribosomal RNA". It matches the Rfam family "Bacterial large subunit ribosomal RNA", at positions 698 to 2572 of the family's 2925-position model. Lineage: Eukaryota; Metazoa; Chordata; Actinopteri; Cypriniformes; Leuciscidae. The record is from RNAcentral.